UCUUAGACAAUGGGGGCAACCCUGAUCUAGCCAUGCCGCGUGAGUGAUGAAGGCCUUAGGGUUGUAAAGCUCUUUCAGCUGGGAAGAUAAUGACGGUACCAGCAGAAGAAGCUCCGGCUAACUCCGUGCCAGCAGCCGCGGUAAUACGGAGGGGGCUAGCGUUGUUCGUAAUUACUGGGCGUAAAGCGUACGUAGGCGGACCAGAAAGUUGGAGGUGAAAUCCCAGGGCUCGACCUUGGAACUGCCUUCAAAACUAUUGGUCUGGAGUUCGAGAGAGGUGAGUGGAAUUCCGAGUGUAGAGGUGAAAUUCGUAGAUAUUCGGAGGAACACCAGUGGCGAAGGCGGCUCACUGGCUCGAUACUGACGCUGAGGUGCGAAAGCGUGGGGAGCAAACAGG
Molecule: ribosomal RNA, 397 nt
Filed under: uncultured bacterium
Lineage: Bacteria
Description: bacterial SSU rRNA
Rfam family: Bacterial small subunit ribosomal RNA
Source: RNAcentral